CAAUCGGCCCUUUUCAGGGCCACAUAAAUAUAGCCAACAAUAAUUU
Regulatory RNA element from Lasius niger, 46 nucleotides. It matches the Rfam family "Histone 3' UTR stem-loop". From Rfam's summary of the family: The mRNAs of metazoan histone genes lack a poly-A tail. 3' end processing occurs at a site between a highly conserved stem-loop (modelled by this family) and a purine rich region around 20 nts downstream (the histone downstream element, or HDE). The stem-loop is bound by a 31 kDa stem-loop binding protein (SLBP - also termed the histone hairpin binding protein, or HBP). Lineage: Eukaryota; Metazoa; Arthropoda; Insecta; Hymenoptera; Formicidae. The record is from Rfam.